AUCAUGUGCAGGAGGUACUGGCCAGCAGCCAGGAGCCCUGUGGUCCCUAUGAGGAACCACCAAGGUUCCUGGCCUCGCACCACCAAGGGCAUAUGCACCACCGACUACUUUUCUAGUUUCUGUAAUAUGUAGUGAUGUAGGGCCAUCAAAGUGGACCUUUUCUUGGGCUGUUGUUAAUGUCAAAUUUAAUUUGGCCAAGAGGUCUCACUGAGGGCUGCACUCUCAUCUCAUACUCAAGAUAGUUCUGUGACACGCACCUCUGGAAAGCCUGGUGCCUAGAUGGCAGGGUCCUUCAUGUGGAGCUAUGAAUUCAGAGGAAGUGAUAAGCAGUUGGUCCUGCUUCUCUAGGAAGCCUGGCUUCGUGUAGAGCAAAGGAAGGUGGGGGCCACUUGAGUUACAUCUGGCCCCACAAGCUAAAGGGGACACAGAGGUUCAGGGGACCUCCAUUUUUUUUGUACAAAGCAGAAUGGCAGUGUCUCCGUGCACAAAUCCAUGAAGCAAUAUGCCUGACAUCCAAUGCUUCCCUAGGCCCAAAGAGUCAUUUCAAGUGCUUCUGCAUCUACUCAGGUACCUCCUGACAGCAGGCUUGACACCAGCUACUGUCCAGCUCCCCAGUAAACCAGAUUCCCUCAUUGCUCCUAAUGGGGUCUAGACUGCAGGAGGAGGAAGCAGGUGGGCAAUGUCCAGAUUUCCAUGAUGACCCUCCGAGGAGAUACCCGUGGCUAGGUUACUGCACAACUACAGCAUCACAGAGGAGACUCCAGAACUCAAACUACCAAGACUCACUGAGAGAUUUACAUUCUAGCUCC
Molecule: long non-coding RNA, 809 nt
Filed under: Pan troglodytes (chimpanzee)
Lineage: Eukaryota; Metazoa; Chordata; Mammalia; Primates; Hominidae
Description: long non-coding RNA NONPTRT012132
Source: RNAcentral